GCUCGCGCGCGAACUUGAGGCACGCGUUCUUCGCCCGAUUCGUCUCCGCCGAAGCCUCCGCAGCGGCGGCGGCGACGACGGGGCCGGGCCCGUCGUUGAAGUAGCCCUUGCUCCGCAGCUUCUCGAGGAACCGCUCCUACUCCGGCCACGGGUGCUCCGCCGCCGCCGCGGGGCCAUCGGCGGCGGCGGUGGCGGUGGCGAAGGUGGAGAAGAGGAAGAUGGAAAUGGAGGAGGAGGGAGAGAUAGAGUUGCGGCGAGGACGGAGGAGAGAGGAGAUGAGGGGACGGAGCUUGGGAUAAGCCAUGGGAAGAGGAGGAGGAGGAGGAGGAGGAGGAAGAAAAUGGCUGUUAGGGUUUUUGAGCGCCGGAGAGGAGGGAUGGGGUUUCCUACGCCAGUGAUUUGAAAAAAGGGAAAGAGACGAGCUCGUGGCGGCGAUCGAUCUCUGAUUUGAAAAAAAAGGGAAAGAGAGGAAGAGAGAGAGAGAGAGAGAGAGAGAGAGAGAGAGAGAGGUGAACAAGAG
RNAcentral lists this long non-coding RNA (520 nucleotides) under Ananas comosus (pineapple). RNAcentral's name for it is "long non-coding RNA (ACOM_LNC041957)". Lineage: Eukaryota; Viridiplantae; Streptophyta; Magnoliopsida; Poales; Bromeliaceae. The record is from RNAcentral.